CCAACAGAUACUGUAAGACCAGCUGAGACAUCCAGCCUCGUGGACUGAAUAACUACUGGACUCUUGGACUUUCUAUCAAGAGAGAAUAGUUGGACUACAGCAUGAUUGAUCAGAAACAUGAUUGAACUGUUAUGGUUAUUAGGAUGAUACUGGAAUUGUGGAGGACAUGAGGAAUGCAGUUUGCUGUGAGUCCAGAGGAUGUCUCUUCAGCAUUCAGACUUGUGAGCUUAGAAAGCUGCCAUUGUGAAGAACCAAGGAGCCUCCCCAGCCACAGCACUGAGAAGGUACCCCAGACUGGAGCACAAGACCCAGUGCACACAGCUACUAGACUUCAGUUUCUGUCUUCCAAAACUACCAGCAGCUUUUUUCUCUGCUUGGAAAGCAUAAUUCUGUCAGAAGCCGGGAGUAAGCACCAUAUUUUCUAACAAGAAUACACCGUAAG
This 442-nucleotide long non-coding RNA is filed under the name Mus musculus (house mouse). Its description in RNAcentral is "RIKEN cDNA C030013G03 gene". The record is from RNAcentral. Lineage: Eukaryota; Metazoa; Chordata; Mammalia; Rodentia; Muridae.